UACGAAGGGGGCAAGCGUUGUUCGGAAUUACUGGGCGUAAAGAGCUCGUAGGCGGCUGUUCAAGUCGAACGUGAAAACUCGGAGCUCAACUCCGAGCCUGCGUUCGAUACUGGACGGCUAGAGUCUGGUAGGGGGAUCUGGAAUUCCGGGUGUAGCGGUGAAAUGCGCAGAUAUCCGGAGGAACACCGGUGGCGAAGGCGGCUUCCUGGACCGACACUGACGCUGAGGCGCGAAAGCUAGGGGAGCAAACGGG
Molecule: ribosomal RNA, 253 nt
Filed under: uncultured bacterium
Lineage: Bacteria
Description: partial 16S ribosomal RNA
Rfam family: Bacterial small subunit ribosomal RNA
Source: RNAcentral